This is a small nucleolar RNA of Mastomys coucha (southern multimammate mouse), 132 nucleotides long. RefSeq annotates it as small nucleolar RNA SNORA17. The record is from RefSeq and is a predicted model, not a curated record. The transcript has a single exon. NCBI's taxonomy places the organism in Eukaryota, Metazoa, Chordata, Mammalia, Rodentia, Muridae.
GCUGCCCCUAGAGGAAUUGCAGGUGUGCUUGCUGUGUCACAUGUGCAUCCAUAGGUGACAGAGAGGAGCAAGGCCAUGUCUAUGCUCAGAGAUCUUACCUACGAAUAUCUGAAUGAAUCCUACCAUAGCAUU